CAACUCGCCGAGUCGAUUGCAUGCAACCACUAAUCAGAUGAUUCUGGUCAAUUCCAUUGCAUUCAACUAAUAGAUCUGGGCUCCUAGGGCUUGUUUCACACGUAAAGUUUCCAACUUUACGUGUAUAAAUGCAUCCAUGGAGGUUUAAAAGCUCUAAAGGGACCAAAAGAGUAUAUCUAGGGUUUUGAUGCAAGAAUGGCCCCAUAAAGGCCAUAGAUCAGAGCUUCUAGAGCUCAUACAUGGGUAGAUCUGAUGGCUAUUCAUCACCACAUGCUUCCAGUACUACUACCAAGCCAAAAAUGAUAAAAACAAGCCCACCAAGAGAUCUAAUUGAAGAAUGACAAAGGUGUGACCUUGAUACCUCAAAGAAGACUGUGAUACCACCAAAAACUCGGAUCUACUUGCUUCUCCCUUGAUUCCUCCUCCUCUCUUCUCUCCUUCUAUUGCACAAAUGAACCACAACUUCACAAAGUGAGAAAAUCACACCAAAAUGACAAGGGUGGCUAGGGUUUUCGUAUGAGGCUUUUCUGUGGGUGAGGGAGGCUACUGAAUGCCCAAAUAGUUAUUUAAAUAGGGUACAAACCCAUGGAUUUAGGGUUUCAUCCAGACUGAUGGACUCGCCGAGUCCAGGCAUAUGGACUCGUUGAGUCUCCGGCUCCAAAUGCGUGCUUAUCCCGUCUCAACUCGACGAGUCGGGCUACUGACUCGUCGAGUUCCUCUUGAAAACUUGAAAAUAAAAAUUUAAAUAACAUACCAGAAAUAGGGUGUUACAACUCUCCCCCACUUGUCUCAGACUUUGUCCUCGAAGUCUGCUGCUUCUGAAUCUGGAAACAACUUUGGGUAAUGCUCCCUCAUCUCCUCCUUUACCUCCCACGUCCACUCAGACCCCUUCCGAUACUGUCACUGCACCUUUACCAACUGAACCACCUUUUUCCUCAAGGUCUUCGUCUUUCGAUCCAAAAUCGCAACCAGUCUCUCAAUAUAAUUUAGGCUACUAUCAACCUGAAUAUCCUCCAAGGGUACAACUGCUGACUCGUCCACCAAACACUUCCUCAACUGGGAGACAUGGAAAGUGUUGUGGAUCUGGAUAAGCUCUGCCAAAAGAUCCAACUGAUAAGUGACCCGAUCCACCUGGGCCAAAACCCUAAAAGGACCGAUGAACCUGGGGCCCAGCUUGCCCCUCUUAUGGAACCAGAUAACACCCUUCCAGGGUGACACCUUCAGGAGGACCAUAUCGCCCACCUGAAACUCAAAGUCUGAACGCCUCCUAUCAGCGUAACUCUUCGGUCGACUUUGUGCAGUCUGCAGUCUACUACGAACCUGUUGGAUCAACUCUGUGGUCUUGAGCACCACUUCGGUGCUCCCGAUGACUCGCUAACCAACCUCGCCCCAACAAAUCGAGGUCCUGCACUUCCUCCCGUAGAGCAUCUUGAAAGGAGGGCGGUCAAUACUUGCAUGGUAGCUGUUGUUAUACGAAAAUUCUGCUAAUGGAAGAUACGUAUCCCAACUGCCACUGAAGUCUAGGACACAUGCCCCAAGCAUGUCCUCGAGAGACUGAAUCGUCCUCUCGCUCUGCCCGUCCGUCUGUGGGUGGAAAGCGGUGCUGAAAUGGAGACGAGUACCCAUCUAGUCAUGAAAUCGUUUCUAGAAUCUGGAAGUAAAACGGACAUCUCGAUCUGACAUCACUGAAACAGGCACUCCAUGCCGUGCCACAACUUCUCGCACAUAAAUAUUGGCUAGCUUCUCAACUGAUAUGCUCUCCUGGAUCGGUAUAAAAUGAGCGCUCUUUGUCAAUCGAUCCACUAUAACCCAAAUUGAAUCCACUCCACGUGCGGUCCUGGGGAGCUUAGUGACAAAAUCCAUGGUGAUGUCUUCCCAUUUCCUCACUGGAAUGUCUAAUGGCUGCAUCUUACCAUGAGGCCUCUGGUGUUCCGCCUUAACCUUCCUGCAGGUCAGGUACCUCUCCACAUACCAGGCGACAUCCCGCUUCAUACAGGGCCACCAAUAGUCGGGUCGAAGAUCCCUAUACAUCUUCGUUGCCCCUAGAUGGAUGGAAAAUCGAGACUUAUGAGCCUCAUCCAUAAGCACUUGCCGUACUCCGCCCCAGUACGGUACCUAAACUCUUCCAUGAAGGGUCAACAAUCCUCGACUAUCAUAGUCGAAGGAAGCUACUCGGCCCACAAUCCUCUCACACUUCUGCCUCUCCUCCUUGAGGCCCUCGACCUGAGUCUCUCUUAUAUGCUCUAAUAACGGAGUGAUUACCGUCAUCCUCAAACAUAUAUCCCUGAUCGGGGCCGCUGCCACCUUGCGGCUCAGGGCGUCAGCCACUACGUUGGCCUUCCCUGGGUGAUAAAGGAUCUCACAAUCAUAAUCCUUUACCAAGUCUAGCCACCGCUACUGCCUCAUGUUAAGAUUCGGUUGAUCCAUGAGAUACCUCAGACUCUUAUGAUCCGUGUAGAUGGUACAACGGACCCUAUAAAGGUAAUGCCUCCAAAUCUUGAAAGCAAACACCACUGCCCUCAGCUCUAAAUCAUGCGUAGCAUAGUUAGCCUCAUGAGGCUUCAACUGUCUUGAGGCGUAAGCUAUCACACGGCCUCGUUGCAUCAACACUGCUCCCAUACCUGUGAUCGAAGCAUCACAGUAGACUACAAAAUCCUCUACUCCCUUUGGCAGGGUAAGGAUCGGUGCCUCGCACAAUCUCUGCCUGAGGGUCUCAAAUGCUGCCUGCUACUCAGGCCCCCAACGAAACACCACUGACUUCUUAGUCAGUCGGGUGAGCGGUACAACUACCUUGGAGAAAUCCUUGAUGAAUCUCCUAUAGUACCCUGCCAAACCUAGGAAGCUUCGAAUCUUAGAUGGAGAUCUCGGGACCUCCCACUGCAUCACGACCUCUAUCUUGGCCGGAUAUACCAGAAUACCCUUCUGAUUGACGAGGUACCCAAGAAACUUCACCUCGUGCAACCAGAACUCACACUUGGAGAACUUUGCGAAAAGUCUCUCCCUCCUUUGAAUCUCUAGCACCUCCCUCAGGUGCUCCUCAUCCUGCUCCUGAGUCUUGGAAUAAACCAAGAUGUCAUCAAUGAAUACUAUCAACGACCGAUCCAGCAACGGCCGACAUACGCGGUUCAUGAGAUCCAUGAAUGCGGUCGGAGCGUUGGUGAGCCCAAACGGCAUCACCACGAACUCAUAAUGACCAUACCGGGUCCUAAAAGCAGUCUUAUGCGCGUCCUCAUCUCUGACUCGCAUUUGAUGAUACCCGGAGCGUAAAUCGAUCUUGGAAAACCAAGACGCUCCAUACAGCUGAUCAAACAAAUCAUCUAUCCUCGGUAGUGGGUAACGGUUCUUCACCAUUACCUUAUUCAGCUCCCGAUAGUCUAUACACAUACGGUGCGACCAGUCCUUUUUCUUCACGAACAAAAUUGGUGCUCCCCAGGGCGAACUGCUCGGCCUGAUAAAACCCUUGUCUAGCAGCUCUUGCAGCUGAUGGGUUUUAGCCAUAAGAACAUCCUAUGUGCUCAUGCAUCCCUAAUGCUUGGAUCUAGGUUUCUCAAUUGUACAUGCAAUUCAUCCAAGACUUUAAACCCUAGUUCUAGCAUACAAUUAAUCAUAUUAACAUGUGAAAGGGUUUUUAGAUCUUACCUUGAUUGUUAUGUAGCAAUAACAAUCUCAAAUCCUCCUUGUAAUGACUUUAGAAAGCUUAGAGUCACAAGUGUCACUCCUCUAAUGGUUCACAAACACCAAGAGCAAGAGGAUGAAGAAUAAGGAGAGAGAAGGCUGCCCAAAACGUGUAGAAACCCUAGUGGAACUCUUAGCCACAUUUUUGGGGCUUAAGGGUACUAUAUAUACAUGUAGGCUAUUAGGGUUUUCAACUAGGAAACCCUAAUUUAACUGCUUAAGCCCUAAGCAGCUCAUGGACCCUUUUAGAAUAUCCCUUGAUGAUUUCUAAUGGGUUUCCCCAUAGAAUUCGUCCAACCUAUUAUUCCAAGGUGAUCCAUAGCCCAAAUGCAAUUAUAUUAUAAUUACAGUUCCAUUCCCUUAAGUUUAAUUAAUCUCUUUUAGCCACAAAAUUAAUUAUCAAUUAAUUCUUGACUAAUACUAAUUAAACAAUAUGAUUUCUCCUUUAAUAUAUUAUUCUCAUAAUAUAUUAAUAAAUCAUAAUUAAUCUUCUCUCUCCAUAAUUCAUCCUAUCAAGUUGCUUUGGUGAAGGCAACCCAAAAGGACCAUGCACCAUCGGGUCAAGUACAUACCAAAAUAGUUAUGGACUUAGACACUAAUCCAACAGUCUCCCACUUGGAUAAGUCUAAUAACUAUUCUGCGUAUGACUUCAGAUCCUGAUCUGCAAUCGUAGCUUUCAAAAGCCGCUGUCAACUCUGAUCUUAUCAGAUACACGUCCUUUAGAUAAGGGAUCAUAUAUUCCUCCAUUCUAGAUAUCGUAUAGACUGAGACAUGGAUUUAAAUCAUUCUCUCUGUCUAUGUGUUGUUUCCCGAUUUCCGAUUUAUGACGACUGACAACAGACUACAAUUGAACACAUCAAAUUAGUCCCGGCUUGGCCAAGCGCUUAGGUGUCAUCACUAAAUCAUCGAGGGGCCCACAGAUAUCGCUUUCAUCCUACUUUGGAUAAAAGGAACGGAUAAACUUUGAUUCAAUGCUUGCUUGCACUCACUUACCGAAUCACACACAAUAAUAUGUUUUAUAACACCAAGUUACUGGUGCGUUUACAUAUUAUCAAUGUGUAACCGACUCGCAAGAUACAACUCACACAUCUCGGUUUCAAGAAUAUAAGAUAUUAUCGUCUCACCAAUCACUCGUGAUAAAAUCCAUGAAGUGAUCCAAGUGAGCGUGGGUUUAAUCCAAUGCUCAAAUCAUAUUCAUAAGCACUCAUGAACGUUGCAGCAAACAUUUGCUUAUGUCUAAUACACUUUAGACAAUCCACACACCAAUUCACGACAGUCUUCAUUCAUACCUACUUCCAACAUAUGAACGACUGUGGUCCGUUCGAAUAAUUUGAUUGUUCUGAAUAAAUUUAAUUAUUCAGGAAGUCAAAACAUGCAAAGUGAAACACAAUAAUAAUACUAAUCCCAUAUGACCCCACACUCUAGGUAUAAAUAAAACAUUUUAUUUAAUCACCAUAUUGAUUACUGAUUAUUUGUUGUUUCAGGUAAUCAACUUCUUAUUUGAAUUAUUACUACACUUGUCCCUUGCUCUCAGCAUGUACACAAUGUUUACCUACGGUCCUUACUUUGUGAAAUAGAUCAAAUGAACACAUUUCCAAUCAUACUCGUUUCACAACUCCCAAUCCUUAUCAUAAGUAUAAGAAUAUCAAAUUCUUGUUACUUAUGCUAGAUUCUAACAUUUUAUGCAAUGAUUCUCUCGUAAAGUCAUAGCUCAAAAUCAUCACGACUUGGCCAAUCUCUAUCAGAAACAAUUCUAUAGAUAUGAUGUCUUUCACUCAAAGUACAUUCCUUUGAACAUCCUUCUUGCAUAAAAGUUUCUAAUCUAGACAUAGACUCUCAAUAUCCAACUCCCAAUAUGGAAACAUUUCCAUAUUUUCCAUAUGACAACUCAUUCUUAAUAGAAUCUUAUCUAUUCAUAAUAAUGUCGAUAUGGUCCAUCCAAUACCAUACUUCCAACUACUCACAAGCGACCAAUCCUCAGNGAUCCUCAGCAAGCUUUGGAUCAUCCUUUGAUAGUUGUUUAAUUAUCUUAGUGAAAACCGAUUCUUGUCCUUUUUCCCUCUUAAUGCGCUAGACAUUUGGAAAAUUUUAGAAUGCUUAAAUUUUAUAUCAUCUGCAAUCGAUCCUUUACCCGAAGCGUAUGGCAUACGAUGCAUAAUGUCUUACAUGAAGAUCUGAUAAUUUAUCAAUCUUCUGCCAUAAUAUUUUAUGUGCCACGUUCUCCUAAUUCGAACUAUAAAGAGGGAUGCCAUAAUCAUAAUCGAAGUUGAGAACACACUAUGUAUCAUUGACUAAAUUUAUUAAAAUUCCACAAUCUAAGCCUUUAGAUUUGAAAAUGAAGCAUAAUAUUCUCUCCCUUAAUUAUAGCAAAACAACUUUUCAAAGCUUCUUAAACUUAUUAAUCAUAGCAAAACAACUUAUUAAUCAAAGCUUCUUAAAAUGAAGCAUAAUAUUCUCUCCCUUAAUUAUAGCAAAACAACUUUUCAAAGCUUCUUAAACUUAUUAAUCAUAGCAAAACAACUUAUUAAUCAAAGCUUCUUAAAAUGAAGCAUAAUAUUCUCUCCCUUAAUUAUAGCAAAACAACUUUUCAAAGCUUCUUAAACUUAUUAAUCAUAGCAAAACAACUUAUUAAUCAAAGCUUCUUAAAAUGAAGCAUAAUAUUCUCUCCCUUAAUUAUAGCAAAACAACUUUUCAAAGCUUCUUAAACUUAUACACCUUUGCCUUAGAUAGCUCAUAUGUGUGUCAAAACAAUUUAGACUAAUUGCCAAAUCUCACAAUACAAAUUAUGGAAAGGGAUACCAUAACCAUAAUCAAAUUCAAGAAUACAAUUUUCACAAUCACUAUCUUCUUAAAAUCUCUCUUGGUGAAAGCAUUUCCUCACAGUCAUCUUCAUGAAAGAGGGAAUCUUAUGAAACUUAGAUUUUAAUGGUGUAUGUGUUCUUAUCCAUGCGAAUUUGUCAAAACCAAAUUUUGCGACAAAUCCAAACUCAUAUGGACCGAACUUUCUCAAUCUUGAUUUCUUGCCUUAUGGUAACACGAGUGCCCACCAUGUCUUCCAAGUAGUUAAGCAGCUCACCCUUUCCUAUCAAUGUACUUUCCAUUGAUCAAGGUGCUUGCCUUUUAUGCGUUCAAAUGAGAACUCAUAGAACUCACAUGCAUAAUUAACUCAAUUGGAAUGGCACAGAAACAAAAUAGUGUCAACACGAUAGGUUGUAAACCUCAACUCGUGUGCUAGUGAUGAUCGAUAAGGUUUUUUUUGAUUUGUUCUUGAAACCUUUCAAGACCAUUAAGACUCCCACUGACUCCUUGACAUAUAAGAUUCUCUUGUCAAUAAACAUUUCUUGACAAACAAAUAUUCAAGAGUUAGUGUAGUUUUUAUCAAAACACUUCAUAAAUUGGUCCUAGUUGGUCUUUGUCUUAUCCAAGACAUCACAACUUUCCACAUUUGAUGAAUGUUAUAAACCUUCUUAAUACUUGUCACUCAAUGUCACAAUCUUAACUCUAAGACUUGUUUUGGAACGAAGUAUGAUUGACUUCUUGAUUUAACCAUUUCUUCAAUUCUUGAUUCCUCUUCUCAGACAUACAAUUGUACUAAGACUCACUUAGAGGAUCAAUUGAGAUAUGGUUCUUAAUCAUUAAGACCUAUCAUAAAACAUAAUAAAAGGUACUCUCCCUUCUUCUUAGAAUAGAGAAACUUUUAUCUUUCUGCCUACUUGAUUCUUCUUUAUUCGUUCUGCUAUUUAUUGAAACUCUUUCAAUCAACUGAGAAUUACACUUAAUCUCAUAAGUAUAAUCAUAUUUACUUAACCUUAGUAAAUCAUGACGAAUAUCUUUGUUACUCUUGUGGUGGACUUGAUCAACACACAACUUUGUGUACUCGAUCUCCUAGUCCUUCACUUGACACUUUGUCAAUGAAUUAGUCUAAUUUCCAAAUAUGAAAUUUCUCAUUCAUCGUGCAACCAAGUUGCAUGAUUCCAAGUUUCUGUCCAAUUGAAACUUGGGCGAUGAGAAACUCUCCCUAUUUGGUAAAUUCUUGACAUUUCCACAAAUAACAUAAUUAAGAAUCAAAUCCAUUAUUGCUAAUAAUAGAAACAUUCAAACAUCAAUUUUUCAUACACGCCAUUGCAAGGAUAAAUAAAUAAUAUAAAAUCAAAAUUUAUUUUAUUGCGGAAAAAUUUGUCCUUACAAUGCAAUUCAAUUGAAAAACUAUGUUAAUACAUAUUUCUUAGCAAUCUUAUUCUAACUCCAAGUAGUAGCUCAAGAUUCUAAUCUUCAAGUAAUGCGAUCGAAAUCCAUUUCUUCACGAUUAGAUUCCGCUCACUUCUUCCCUUAAGCUUCCUCUCUUUUCUUCGAUCCUACAAGACAUCGAAAUGUAAUCUUAUCACAUCAUGUAUUAAGAAUCUAGAAUAGGAACUUAAAAGAGUUAGUUAAUGGAUUUUACCUAAAGCAGAGCCAUACGUUUUGACUCUCCCAUCUCUUAGAUCUCUUAGGUAAAUAGGGCAGCUUCGUCUCCAAUGCCCCUUCUCUUGGCAAUAAAAGCAAAUUGACUCUUUUGGAACAGCACACGGAACUACUUCUGACUUUGCCUUUCUCUUAUGAUCAAACUUUUCGAUCAUGGCAUGCCUUUCGUUGCCAUUGCCUAUAUCCAUAGAGGUCUGGAAGGCAGAUCCACCAAUCAACUUUGCUUUUCCAGUGCGCCAAAUCAUUGCUGAUUCAGCAGCAAUAAGCAUAUAGGUGAGAUCAAUGAGGGUUACGUCGUGGUUCAUCAUAUAGUACUCUCUUACGAACUCACUAUAUGAGUCAGGAAGUGACUGAAGAACCCAGUCAACAGCCAGCUCCUCACAGACAACAGAUCCCAACAUUCUUAACCUAUCAAUGUGUGACUUCAUCUCUAGGAUGUGUGCACACACUGACUUUCCUUCUUCAUGUUUACUUGCCAAAAGGGCUUGAGUGAGUUUGAACUUUUCAAUCUUUUGAACUUGUGGGUUAGGGAGAAUAAUAGGAGGAGGUGGAGGAAGUGAAGCAUGAUCUCGUGUUCCUCGAUCGAAUCGUGGAAUAUCAUCUUCAUGUGAAAAGCUUGUUCCACGGGAUUUGGGAAGACCAUAGUUGUCAUACUUUGACAUCUACAAAAUGGGAGAAAAAUUGAAUUCAAGUUAGUUGAUUGAUUGAGUCCUUAAUAAAUCACCCAAAUGAGAUAUUAAGGCUAGGACCCAACACAAUACUCUACAACCUAGAAAAGGGAUGUCGUAAUCUAGUUGCAGAAUAUUUGAAGGUAAGUGAAUGACGAUUCACUAAUUUCCACCAUGAAAAACGAAAAAGAAAUUUAUGUUUUAAAUCUAUGAAAACUCCUAGAUCCUUUGAGAUUCAUUGAACUUUUCAAUGGCAUGUUUAAAUCUCGAUAUGCCCCUCUAGUUUGUGACUGGGAUACCGAGGAUCACAAAGCGGGUGUGAAUAACCAUGCAAACUUACAUGCUGCCCCCACAUGUUACAGUCACCUAUUCGAUGUACCGGUUAACCACACACGCUCCACCGAACUAUGACAAACUUUGAGUCACCCUUUGCUACCUUUACUUAGAACCAUUUAGCGUGUCGGUUAACCACACACGCUCCACUAACAUCUUCACAAGGGCACAAAGUGUAAUUUCAUGGAAUUGCAUCAAUUCACUUUUGCCUAAAGUAACCAAGAUUGGGAAUUUGUAAAAGCAUUUAGUUACUUUUAUACUUCAGUAUACUUAUAAUGGAAAGUUUCUGUCCUAUCCUACCCGUUCGCCUAACAACCCUCCACUAGUCAAGAGUGCGGUGAGUAAGAGUGGAUACCCAUUCAAUUGCCAUUUUAUAUGCAAUUUACUUAAACACCCCUUAUAGACCAGCUUCGUGAAUGAGGCCUACUAACGGUAAGACCGACUUUUACUCAUACAUAUAUAUUAUACUUUUAAUGUUAUAUAUAGUAUAGGGUGUAUUUUACACUUUUAAAAUACUAGGUGGUCUAAUUUAAUAACUAUACUUUUAAUUUAAUUAAAUGUAAAACAAAACUUUAUAGGUUUAUUAAAUCCCUUUUAACUAUACACCUUAAUUAAUUAAUAAAACUAUAAGGGUGUGAUUUGAACCUUUUCAAAACAAUACUAGGGUUUUAGAAUUUAACAUUUCUAAAUUAAACUUUUAAUCAACUUUUAAAUUCCAAAACUUGAGGGCAAGUUUUGAAACAUUUCAAAACAUUAGGGUUUCAACUAUUUAAAUUUCAAAACAAAACCUUUAAGUUCAAAUUGAAACCAUAAAACUUACAUGGGUACAAAUGAAACUUUUCACAACACAAGGAUCAAAUAACAAAUAAUAGAAAUUAAGCAAUUAAUUUUGUCAGUAUCUAUAUUUGACCUAAUUUCAAUUUCUUGCAAGAUAAGUUACCCAAUUAAUACAAAUAAUCAAUCUUUAAUCAUAUAAGGAAGUUAUUAUCCAAUCAAUUGGUAAUUAUCUUUUGUUUAAUCAAGGAUAUACUGAAAUAUAAGAUAAAAUUCGAAUUAUAAAGACCCAAAACAAUUAAGGCAAGUAUCCUCAAGCAAAACAGCAAGAAAUCCUGAAAUCUGCUCUUACUGACGCUCGAACUCGCCGAGUCCCUCUAUGGACUCGCUAAGUUGGAGCAACUCAUCGAGUCCACAUUGGAACUCGCCGAGUUAAUCAGUCAGGGAGCCAAAAAUCGAUUUUGAAGCUUGAACAAAUAACCAAGGCAUCAAUACAAUAGAAACCAAUCAAGGCUCUGAUACCACUGAUGGGUUUUAGCCAUAAGAACAUCCUAUGUGCUCAUGCAACCCUAAUGCUUGGAUCUAGGUUUCUCUAUUGUACAUGCAAUUCAUCCAAGCUGGUAGUGAUGGGUUUUGGCCAUAUGAACAUUCCUGUGUGCACAUGCAAACCCUAAUGCUUGGAUCUAGGUUUCUCUAAUUAAACAUGCUUUCAAUCCAAGACUUCUAAUGACUAAUUAGGUAUAAGAACAAUACAAAAUCAGAUCUAGAAGUUUACCUUUGAAUCUCUUGUUUGAUCUUGUUGUCUUGGAGCUCUAGAGUCACAAUUGUCACUCCUCUAAUGGCUUACAAACACCAACUAGCAAGGAGGAUGAUUUGAGAGAGAGGAGAGGGAUUAGAAAUCGGCCAGGGUUUCUUUGCUUUAGUAGAGGUGCCGAUUUCCCAUGCCCUAGGGGUCUAUUUAUACUUGUAAGGCUCCUAGGGUUUCACCCUUAAACCCUAGUUGGAUAAUCUUUCCUUAAAGCAAUCCAAAUCAUUUCCAAAGAUAAGCCUUGGACGAAUUUGAGGCUAUCUCAAGCCCUAGAAUCGUUCAACCCUUAUCCCUUAAGGAUUUACAGCCCAAAGUGCAACUAUCAAACAAUUGACAGUUUAUACCCUCUUAUUUAAUUAAUCCCUUUAAGUCACCAAAUUAAUACUAAUUAAUCUAUGACUUAUAUUAAUCAAAUAACAAUAUUAUUAUUCCUUAUAUUAUUCUCAUAAUAUAUUAAUAAUAUUUAUUCUCUCAUAAUAAAUCAUCCUAUCAAGUUGCUAUGGUGAAGGCAACCCAAAAGGACCAUGCACAAUCAGGUCAAACACUUGCCUAAUAUAAUUGCAACCUUAAACACUAUUCCAACAGGUAGUUACCUAUAUUACUGAUUCCCUGAGAAAUACAAGUGGUUUCGAAAAAGUGUCAACAGUAAAGUUGGUGAGCUCAUAAAUGUUUUGUACUGAAAAAGUAUGUCUUUUUGGAAGAAAAUCGAUGAACGUGGCUUUCAGAAAAUCCAAUAUUUUCCACAUAUAGUUUGAAAAGUUCCCAAGGUUGGAGGGCGUUAGUAUCUUUCGUAUUUAAAUGAUAAAGAUAAGUUUUGUAUUCAAAAUAAUGUAAACACUGAAUGCAUGUAUGAAGCUCGUAAAUCAAGCUUGUUUUUAUACUUUCGUGUGAGUCUUAUAACCAUACUAUUGACACAGACUGCCUGUAACAACAUUCUUCAGGUGUUGUAGUGUUAUGACAUUUGUCACCCCAGACCUGCCGGUCUAACUGUAGCUAACAAUUUAGGUGCGGGGUUGUCAAUNGCUAACAGUUUAGGUGCGGGGUUGUCAAUCCCGUAUAGAUCUAUACACAAGUAUCACGCUCUCCCUCCAAGAGAUUAUGGCUUAUAAUACAGGACUUGAAAUGCAUACAUAAAAGUACAUUGAAGUUUGAAUAUCUCACAUCAGUUAGUAUAAAUAGAUUUACGAUAAGAAAGUAUUUAUUUCACUUUAGAAGAAAGUAUUUUGUUUUUCAAGAUGUAUACGUAAGAAUGUAUGAAUAACUCACAAACUAUACCCAUUAUAGUUUUUCAAAAAGUAUGUUCCAUUUGGUGAAAAUAACUUGGUGAUAUACUAAACUUUAUACGUAAAGUAAGAUGUUGGUAUCGAAUAAUAAUAAGAUAGAUGUUGCAUUUAUAUAAAACGAUACGUUUUCUUGUAUUGUACUUGUAUUCCCCCCUAAAACAUGAAAAGACUUGAAAAGUAGGGGUAUGAACUCACUUGUUCGGUUUCAAGAGAGCGAGACUAGAGUCGGGCAGAACUUCAACUGUGGAAAGCUACGUCUUCGAGCUUCUCCGGGAUCUUGGUAGCGUAGAACCUUCGUCGGGGGUUCGAGUCUGUAACCGAGGGUGUCAGGAUGGUCUCUGGUACGUAAAAGUGUGUGAGUGUGAGUGAAACUUUGAGUGACGUGUGCUCAAAUUCAGAGCUUAUGCCUUCUAUUUAUAGGGCUGAAAAUGCGAGUACGCUGGGCGUACCACCGGAGUACGCUGGGCGUACGCGUUACGCUGGGCGUACUUCGGUUACGCUGGGCGUAACUUUGCGUCAUGUCUUACGACUCGGGUCUAGCUAGUCAUGGAGCUUGCAGCUGAUGGGACUCGACCCUGCACCUGAGUAUGCUGGGCGUAAUCCUGAAUUACGCUGGGCGUAAUUCUGGCUUCCGUCUUCUAAAUUCCGUAACUUUCGCGUACGGGCUCUGUUUUUCGCAUUCUUUAUAUCCACGCGUAGGUGAGAUUAUGUUCUACAACUUUUAUUUAGACUCCGUCGGCUAGUUUUGACUUUAUUUUUAAUGCUAUGUUUUUAAUAAACCGGGACUACUAAAGUCCGUUAAAAAUUCAUAACUUCUUUAUCCGACGUCUGUUUUCGUUUGUCUUUUUAUCAUCUUACUCCUAUUGUGGAGACCUUCUACUCUUGUUUAUGUUGUGUUAGCUAAAUAUCGAUCGAUUUUCAAUUCGAGUUUUUAGCUCUCUACUACUAUUACGAAACUUAGAAAAUUCGUAACUUCUUCAUACGAGGUCCAGUUUAGGCGAUCUUUUUAUGUACGUUUACAGUUUAACGAACUCUACAACUUUUGUUUAGAUACUUAAGGCUAACAUACAUUUUAUUGGAAUUUCACUUUUUACAUUAUAUAGUGUUUUACCGGGUGUGUCGUAAAUAUUUGAGUGGUUAUAGUUUCUUCAAUAUAAUCGGGUUUCGAAUGUUUUUUAUGUUUUUGGAAAUCUUGGCACGAUAUCUAACAUUUGAUGCAUCCCAAUUUAGAUAUUUUGAACACUCUAUUUUUGAGGUUAAUUUCGUUGAUUCCUAAUAGUUUUUGUUGUAUUUGACGUUUGAGUGUUACAUUGCUUUUGGAAAAAUAUAGGGUUGUCACAUCAUCCCCCAGUUAGAGGAAUUUCGUCCGGAAAUUUAAUCUAAGACUGAGUUUACAUGUUAGGGAAGAGAUACGGGUACUUUUGUUUCAUCUAAUCCUCGCGUUACCAGGUGUAUUUAGGUCCUCGCUUGGCGCUCCAGCGGACCUUUGCAAUAGGUAUGCGGCUUUGUUUAGCCCUUUUAAUUUCCCGAUCCAUGAUCUCUACUGGUUCUUCUACGAAUUGGAGAUUCUCAUUUAUUGCAAUUUCGUCUAGAGGGAUGACAAGGGUCUCAUCGGACAAGCACUUCUUUAGGUUUGAUAAGUGAAAGGUAGGGUGUACGUUGUGGAGUUCUGAGGUAAUCGAAGUUUGUAAGCCAUCGGACCGAUCCUGGCAAGGAUCUCGAAUGGUCCAAUGUAUCUUGGGUUCAGUUUCCCACGCUUUCCGAAACGUAUUAACCCUUUCCAGGGUGAGACUUUUAGUAGGACACGGUCUCCAACCUGGAAUUCCAAGGGUUUCCGUCUUUUAUCCGCAUAACUAUUUUGUCUGUCCCUUGAUGCNGAUGCUUUCAUCCCAGAUCUGAACAAUCUUCUCCGUAGUUUCCCUUAUGAUUUCUGGUCCAGUGAGUGUGUUGUAUGUUGCUUGUCCUCUUGCUAGUUGUGAGUCACCUACUUCAGCUCAGCACAGAGGUGAUCUGCAUUUACGGCCGUAGAGGGCUUCGAACGGGGCAGCCUUGAUGCUAGUGUGGUAGCUAUUGUUGUACGAAAACUCGACCAAGGGUAGGUGGGUGUCCCAUGCUUUGCCAAAAUCGAUUACGCAAGAUCUCAACAUAUCCUCUAAGGUUUGUAUGGUUCUCUCACUCUGGCCGUCAGUUUGUGGGUGAUAAGCAGUACUCAUGUCUAGUCUUGUUCCUAGAGAUUUUUGCAGCGACUGCCAGAACCUUGAGGUGAAUCUACUAUCUCGGUCUGAGAUAAUGGAUAUGGGCAUACCACGCAGCCGUACAAUCUCUCUGAGGUAUGUUCUAGUUAGUUUCUCCAAUUUAUUCGUUUCUUUAAUUGGUAGGAAGUGUGCUGAUUUAGUUAACCUGUCGACGACCACCUAGAGGGUGUCGAGUCCGCUUGUUGUCUUGGGUAAUUUGGUUAUGAAAUCCAUGUUUAUCCGCUCCCACUUCCAUUCGGGUAUUUUUGGUUGUUGCAACAAUCCCGAGGGCUUUUGGUAUUCGACCUUGACUUUCGUGCACAUUAGACAUUUUCUCACGUAGGUAGCACUUUCGGCUUUCAUGUUCGGCCACCAGUACAGUUUCUUGAGGUCGAGAUACAUCUUAUCCGAGCCAGGAUGUAUGGAGUAUCAUGUCUUAUGGGCUUCGUUCAUGAAGACUUCUCUAAAUCCGCCAAACUUCGAUGUCCAGAUCCGAUCCAUGAAGUAACGAACUCCAUCAUUCUUGACUUCAAGCUUCUUAUCCAUUCCCCUUAAGGCUUCCCAUGUCACAUUUUCAGAUUUUAAGGCUUCUACUUGGGCUUCCCUGAUUUGCGUGGACAGGUGUGAAUGGAUUGUCAUAGUUAGAGACUUCACUUUGCGUCCCGAGUAUUCCUUCCGGCUGAGUGCAUCUGCCACCACGUUAGCCUUUCCGGGAUGAUAUCGAAUUUCGCAUUCGUAAUCGUUUAGUAGUUCUACCCACCGUCUUUGUCUCAUGUUGAGUUCUUUCUGGUUGAGGAUAUGCUGGAGGCUUUUAUGAUCGGUGAAGACUGUACAUUUCGUGCCGUAGAGAUAGUGCCUCCAUAUCUUUAGAGCGAAAAUGACUGCUCCUAGCUCGAGAUCGUGCGUCGUGUAGUUUACUUUGUGCGUCUUUAGUUGUCUUGAGGCGUAGGCGAUGACCUUCCCUCGUUGCAUCAGGACACACCCAAGUCCUUGGUUUGACGCAUCACAAUAGACAACGAAGUCCUCUGUUCCUUCGGGUAAGGUUAGAAUGGGCGCACUACAUAAGGCUCGCUUUAGUGUUUGAAACGCGAUGUCUUGUUUUUCUCCCCAUUCGAAGGUCACGCUCUUCUGAGUUAGGGUGGUAAGUGGCUUAGCAAUCUUCGAAAAGUUUUGUAUGAACCUUCGGUAAUAUCUGGCGAGUCCCAAAAAUUACCGGAUUUCUAUUGGGGUUCUUGGGAUCGUCCAAUUCUCUAUUGCCUUGAUCUUAGAAGGAUCCACAUGUAUCCCUUCUUUGCUUACUACGUGACCUACGAAAUCUACUUCCCGAAUCCAAAACUCACACUUUGAAAAUUUUGCGUAUAGUUUUUCUGCCCUCAAUGUUUCCAAGACUUGGCAGAGGUGUUGGCUGUGCUCUUCCUUGCUUCUUGAAUAGAUGAGUAUAUUAUCUAUGAACACGAUCACGAAUUUAUCCAGGAAGGGAUGACAUACCCGGUUCAUUAAGUCCAUGAACACUGCUAGUGCAUUUGUCAAUCCAAAGGGCAUCACUACAGACUCAUAGUGACCAUAGCGUAUUUGGAAUGUCGUUUUGGGGAUGUCCCCUUCCAGCACUCGCAGUUGGUGAUAACCGGAUCUUAGAUCGAUUUUUAAGAAGUAGCUUGCUCCCUGUAGUUGAUCGAACAAGUCGUCUAUGCGCGGCAGGGGAUAUCGGUUCUUGAUCGUGAGUUUGUUCAGUUCCCGGUAAUCGAUGCACAUGCGAAAAGAUCCGUCCUUCUUCUUCACGAAUAGGACCGGUGCUCCCCAUGGUGAGAAGCUCGGUCUGAUGAAGCCCUUGCUCAGCAGCUCAUUUAAUUGACUGGACAGUUCCUGCAUCUCGGAUUGGGCUAGACGGUAAGGCGACUAUGCUACUGGAGUAGCUCCGAGAAUUAAGUCGAUUCUGAACUCGACUUGGCGUUCUGGUGGGAUCCCUGGGAGAUCUUCUGGGAAGACGUCUGGGAAGUUGCAGACUUCUGAAAUGUCUUUAAUGUUCUUCGGUUCUUGUUUCUGGUCUACUACGUGGGCUAGAAAGGCAUGAUAUUCUUUGCGAAGAUAUUUUUGUGCUUUUAACACAGGAGAUGAUUUAUAAAUUUGUACUAGGUUUGUCACCAUAAAUGACAAGAUUUUUGCCGUCUGGCAGAUUGAGGUGAACGACCCUUUCAUGACAAAGUAUAUCGGCAUGGUGAAGACUUAAACAGUCCAUACCGAUGAUGACAUCAAAACUUCUUAUCGAAAUGGGCAUAAGAUUGAUUUGAAAUAAGUGCUCGUUUAAAUUUAAUGUGCACCCUACCUACAUAUCGCUUGCGCUUUCCGUUUUACCGUUUUCCAUUUCUACAGUGAAUAUUUUAUUGAGUGGUUGGGGUUUUUGAUUAAGUAGGUGUUUGAAUUUAUGACUCACAAAACUUCUCUCCGCACCGCAAUCAAAGAGUAUGCAUGCAUAAAUGUUGUCGAGGAGAAACGUACCCGUAACCACCGUGGGGUCAGCUAUUGNUACCCCCCGCCCCCCCACCCCCGCCAGUAUUCUUUGCCUUGGGGCAAUCCCUCUUGAAGUGCCCAGUUUCUCCACACCCAUAACAUGCCAGGCUUAUUCCAGUACCAGGAACUUGAGUGAUUGGUCGCGCCGGUGCCUUACAGAAACUGGCAGUGUGCCCUUUCCUGUCGCGGUUUUUACAGUGCAUCUCGCGCCAAUUACCGUGGUGAUGGUAGUUGCAUUUGCUGCACUUUGGUAGGUUCCCAGCAUAUUGUUUCGUUGGCGUAGGGGUAGCAGGAGUUGUAGUGGGAGCAGUAGCGGCAUGAACCGCCACCAUUUGUUUCUUUGAAGAUUCUUGCGAAGUUUGCCCCUUUCUCUUGUUCCAGAACUUCUUCUUGCUGUUGUUGUUGGCAUUGUUAUCGUUGUUGUUGUUCCCUUUGGUUGGUUCAGCGACGAUAGUUGUGACGCCUUGACAGACACCAUGAUCAACGAGAGAUUGCGCCAGUUCCUUGGCGUUGUCGAAUGUCAUGGGUUUGGAGGCUAACACACUCCCUCGAAGUUGGGGUGAUAGUCCCCAGAUAUACCUUUCCACCUUUUGGCUUUCCAGGAUCAACAUUCCUGGGCAAAGUAUUAUCAAGUCACUGAAUCUGUUGGUAUAGCCUGCGAUGNGCCAUCGUAAGGCCCCACAGUUACUGUUCAAGCUUCUGAAUCUCGCCUCUUGGGCAGUACUCUCGUAGGAGCAUUCGUUUCAAUUUUUCCCAACCCAUGGAGUUCGCCACCACUAAGGUUAGUGUCUUGACGUGGCCGUUCCACCACGCCAGGGAUCGUUCGGAGAAAGUAAAGGCGGCAAAUUUUACUUUGCUUUCUUCAGGGCACGCGCAAAUUUCGAAUACAGCUUCCGUUUUCUCUAUCCAUUGGGAUAGAGCCAUCACUCCCCCAGUGCCAUAAAAGGGAAUAGGUUUUCCGUUGGUGAAGUCUUUUUAAGUACAUACUCCGGAAUGGCCUUGGCUUUGGCUAUUUGUAAAGCUGUUUGUUCCUCCUCCUGACCCGUUGUUGCUCAUUUGAGCCAUCGUUGCGGUUACAGCGGCUGUUACAGCAGUUUGAAACAUAGCGGCAUCCAUAAUUGGAGGAGGUGGUGGAGGUGGUGUUGGAGCUGAGUUUCUGCGUGAUGAUCUACGAGGAGGCAUGUAAUGAUAGAGAAAUAAUAAUGAAGACUAUAUGUUUCUAAUGAUUUGACAAUCGUGUACUAGAUGGUUAGUUGUAUCUUGUAAUUUGUUUUGACUUUAGUUUAUGGUUUCAAAGUAGAUAUAGCAAUUUAUAAGUUUCAAGAGGUAUGUAAAGAAGUACUUCAUAUUUAUAUAUAUGUCACACAUACGGUGCGUUACAUUAUGCUUCACUUUUAGGAAAAUUUGACCUAUCUAGAGGUCUCCGAUUACAAGUUCAAAGGAAAUAAGAAAACUUUAUCCGAGGUCCUAUCCUAUAUCAAAAUUGUUGGAGUUGGGCAAGUUCUACUUGCGGCAUGUUGUACGUUUGGAGCUAGACUCAGCAUCCGACUGCUUGACUCCCAUUAGGCGCCUUUCAAGAACUGCUUGUUGUUCCUUCAUCUCUCUUAUUUCUGCCAAUGCUGUCACCAUUUGGUUUUGAAGCGUUCCUGUGUGGAGUUGGGUACUUUCAUGUAGUCCGUUCAGACAACGGAUGUCUGCGGCGUUACCCUGUGUAGCAGCAUUGACCUCACGGAUUCUGGGCGCUUGCAUGUCUGACUGGUAGUUCUGGGUGGCUAUUGUGCCCACAAGGACGGGAAGCGCUCGAUCGGCUGAGCCUCCUCCAUUGACAUUGUAAAAAUCCCGACACAUGCCGAAGGGAGGGCGUACACCUAGUUGACGGCUCCAAUGGUAGAGGUGGCUUCCCUAAAUGGGAAUGGGACCUGGGUAAUAUGGUCUGACUUCGGGAGGACGAGGAACAGGAGGUUUGAUUACUUCCGGCUCGGAGUCUGUUCCAUCAGUAUCUUCUUCUUCCUCCUCGACCUCCUCGUCGACUUCGAAUUCCUCCCCGACUUCCUCUUCGACUUCAAAUUCUUAUUCGACUUCCUCUUCGAUUUCCUCCGGGUCUUCCUCUGAAUCUUCUUCUAUCCAUCCACCAUUACCUUGGUUUGGGUAGUAGGGAUCUCCCGGUAUAUGGAAUCCGGCCAUUUGUAUGUACUAGGAUAGAGGUAUGAGAAUUUUAUAAGAAAAGAAAUUUCUAUUUAACGGCAUCCUAAGUUUAACUAUAUCUUAAUGUGUGCAAGUUUUUCAUUGUCCUAUUAUCCUAUAACAAUACUCCUAUAGUAUUUCAAAUUUGCGAGUCUAAAACUUUUAUUUGGUAAGUUUUUGACUUGUUUUUCACUACGACCAUUCCUCGACGUACGUUGGUCAAAUCCAGGAUAAAUAUAGUUGAUCAGGUUAUAUUUAUUCUCGAUUUGAUUACAUACCACGAGGCCCAAUCGUAGUGUCGCAACUUGUCUUAAUAUUUUUUUAGAAAAUUUUGUUAUGAUACGAGAUCGAUGCUGAUGGGUUUUAGCCAUAUGAACAUCCCUAUGUGCACAUGCAACCCUAAUGCUUGGAUCUAGGUUUCUCUAAUUGAUCAUACAUUGAAUCCAAGACUUCUAAUGGCUAAUAUACAAUAGCAACAAUAUGAAAUCAGAGAUUAGAAGUUUACCUUGAAUCACUUGCUUGAUCUUCUUGUCCUUGAGGCUUUAGAGUCACAAUUGUCACUCCUCUAAUGGCUUACAAACACCAACUAGCAAGAAGAUGAUUUAGGAGAGAGGAGAGGGGAGGAAGAAUUCGGCCAGGGUUUCCUUAGAGACAAGUGUGUCGAAUUCCCUCAACCCAUAGGGUCUAUUUAUACUAGUAAGGCUCCUAGGGUUUCACCCUUAAACCCUAAUUGGAUAACUUAAGUCCUAAGAAAUCCAAAUCCUUUCCAUGAUAAGCCUUGGAUGAUUUUAUGGUUAUCCUUAGCCCUAGAAAUCGUCCACCCCUUACCCUUAAAGGAUAUUUAGCCCAAAGUGCAACUAUCAAACAAUUGACAGUUUAUACCCCUUUAUUUAAUUAAUCUCUUUAAGUCACCAAAUUAAUUCCAAAUUAAUUUAUGACUUAUAUUAAUCAAAUAAUAAUAUUAUUACUCCUUAUAUUAUUCUUAUAAUAUAUUAAUAAUAUUCCUUCUCUCAUUAUAAAUCAUCCUGUCAAGUUGCUAUGGUGAAGGCAACCCAAAAGGACCAUGCUCAACCGGGUCAAAUACUUGCCUAAUAUAGUUGUAGCCUUAGACACUAUUCCAACAGUCUCCCACUUGGAUAAGUCUAGUAACUAUAUAUACAAGUAUAUUCCGAUUAGCAAUCGUAGCUCUCAAAGACGCUGUCAAACUCUGAUCUAAUCAAUCUUGUCCUUUAGAUAAGGGAUCGUACAGUCCUCUGUUUAGAUAUCAUGCUGACAAUUCUAUGGAACAAUUUGUCUAGCAUUUGGUUUCUCGAUCUCCGAUUUAUUUGACAUAGAACUUAAUCGAACACAUCAAUUCAGUUCUGACCGGGCCCGACACAUAAGUCAAAUCAAAUCAUCGAGCGGCCGAGAUAUCGCUUUUACCUUCUUAGAUAAAAGUUACAGAUAAACUUCGACUUAUAUGCAUUUACUUAUUCAUUAACCAACUAUACACAACAAUACGUUUUAUAACACCAAGUUACUGAUGCGUUUUCGUAUUAUCAAUGUACAAUCAAUUAACAAAUAAUAAACCAUAUAUCUAGGUUUUAAGACUAUAUGAUAUUAUCGUCUUGCGAUCACCUUUUAUAUCGUAUUCCAUAAGGUGAUUCCAGCAAGCGCGGGUUUAUUCCAAUGCUCAAAACUAGUUCAUAAGCACUCAUGAACGUUGCAGCAAUCCUUUGCUAUGUCUAACACCAUUUAGACAUUCUACACACCAAUUCAUGACAAUCUUCAUUCAUAUCUACUCCCAACAUAUGAACGAUUGUGGACCAUUUGAACAAUUCGAUUAUUCCUAAUAAACUCAAUUAUUCUGGAAGUCAAAACAUGCAAAGUGAAACAAUAGCUAAACAAUUAACAUAAGAUAGUAACAUUACUCAUAAAUAAAACUCCUUUAUUUAAUCAUCAAAUGUUAAUUACAUUUAUCUAUUACACGUUUCUAAUACUAUCUAAUCUAUGCUAAUAUCAUCCUUCAGCCCAAUACUCCUAGCAUGCUGCAAGUGCUUAACCCUACUCAGUCCCUUCGUAAGCGGAUCUGCUGGGUUAUCUUCUGAUGAUAUCCUCUUCACUACGAGUUGUCCUUCUUCUACACGAUGUCUGAUGAAGUGAUAUUUUCUGUCGAUAUGUCUUGAUCUACCAUGAUCCCUCGGUUCCUUGGUCAAGGCAACCGCUCCUUCGUUAUCACAGAAAAUCUCCAUGGGCUCCUUUAUGGCAGGUACAACUCCAAGAUCACCGAUGAAGUUCUUUAGCCAUAUUGCCUCCUUCGACGCUUCGCUCGCUGCAAUGUACUCUGAUUCGCACGUUGAAUCAGCUACGGUUUCCUGCUUGGAACUCUUCCAUGUCACUGCUCCUCCAUUUAGGGUAAAGACCCAGCCCGACUGCGAACGGUAGUUGUCCCUGUCGGUCUGAAAACUGGCGUCACUAUACCCUCGCACCUUCAAGUCAUCACUCCCUCCGAGGACUAAGAACCAUUCCUUCGUCCUCCGAAGGUACUUAAGGAUAUUCUUCACCGCAAUCCAAUGUGCUUUGCCAGGAUUCCCUUGAUAUCUGCUAACCAUGCUCAAAGCGAAGGCUACAUCAGGGCGAGUACAAGUCAUAGCGUACAUGAUUGAGCCAACUGCGGAAGCGUAUGGUACUCGGCUCAUUUCUGCUAUCUCAGCUUCGGUACUCGGACUUUGAGUCUUACUCAAUUUGGCAUUACUUUGUAUCGGUAGUUCUCCCUUCUUUGAGUUUUCCAUACUAAAACGUUUUAGUACCUUCUCUAAGUAAGUAUUCUGACUAAGUCCAAUUAGUCUCUUACUUCUUUCUCUUACUAUCCUUAUUCCCAAAAUGUAAGAAGCCUCUCCGAGGUCCUUCAUAGCGAAGCACUUCCCGAGCCAGGACUUAACCUCCUGCAGAGUCGGGAUGUCGUUUCCUAUGAGUAAUAUGUCAUCGACAUAUAGAACGAGGAAGCUUACUAUACUCCCACUGGCUUUGACAUAUACACAAGAUUCGUCUUCGCUUCGUACAAAUCCAAACUCUUUGACUUUCUCAUCGAAGCAAAGAUUCCAUCUGCGAGACGCUUGCUUAAGUCCAUAAAUGGACUUCUCAAGCUUACACACUCUAUUCGGAUGCUUCGGAUCCACAAACCCCUCUGGCUGAGCCAUGUAAACAUCCUCAGCCAACUUUCCGUUAAGGAAAGCGGUCUUGACAUCCAUUUGCCAAAUCUCAUAAUCAUGAAAUGCGGCAAUAGCUAGCAUCACUCUAAUAGAUUUAAUCUUCGCAACUGGUGAGAAGGUCUCAUCAUAGUCAACUCCGGGAGUUUGAGUAAAGCCCUUCGCAACCAAUCGCGCUUUAUAUGUGUGUACGUUUCCAUCCACGUCGGUCUUCUUCUUGAAGAUCCAUUUGCACCCAACGGUCUUACGUCCGGGCACAUAAUCAACCAAAUUCCAAACUUGGUUAUCAUACAUGGAUUGGAUCUCGCUAUCCAUUGCCUCUUUCCAUUUUGCAGACUCCGGGCCUGCCAUGGCUUCCUUAUAGCUAUUAGGUUCAUCAAGAUUUACUAGUGUACCAUCACUAAUAUACGUGUCCCCUUCGGUAGUAAUAUGAAAACCAUAAAACUGGGGAUGAACUCUAACUCUAUCGGAACGUCUAAGAGGUAAGGAUUCGUCAAUCGGUUCAACCGGAGUUUCCUCCUCGGGUUGAGUGCCAGCGGUAGAGGUUCCUUCAUCUAUCGACUCUUGAAUCUCUUCAAGUUCGAUUUGCCUCCCACUGUCUCCUUGGCUUAUGAGUUCUCGCUCUCGGAAAACUCCUCUCCUCGCAACGAAGACAACAUUGUCCUUCGGUCUAUAGAAGAGAUAUCCAAAGGAUGUCUGCGGGUAGCCGAUGAAAAUACAUCGCUCACUUCGAGGUUCAAGCUUGUCGUGAGUAUCUCGUCUUACGAAAGCCUCGCAACCCCAAACCUUGAUAUGUGCCAACGAGGGAGCUUUCCCUGUCCACAUCUCGUGAGGUGUUUUGGCAACCUUCUUAGUAGGGACUCGGUUAAGGAUAUGGGCGGCAGUCUCUAAGGCAUACCCCCAAAAAGAGAUAGGUAGUGAAGCACGACUCAUCAUAGAGCGAACCAUAUCCAAUAAGGUUCGAUUACGCCUUUCUGCCACACCAUUCAACUGCGGUGUCCUAGGAGGCGUCAAUUGUGAAACUAUUCCACACUCCUUGAGAUAAUCGUGGAAUUCAAGACUUAGGUACUCUCCUCCUCGAUCGGAUCGAAGCAUCUUGAUUUUCCUGCCCAAUUGAUUCUCCACUUCAUUCUUGAACUCUUUGAACUUUUCAAAGGUUUCUGACUUUUGCUUGAUUAAGUAGAUAUACCCAUAUCUACUAUAGUCAUCGGUAAAAGUCACAUAGAAGCGGUUCCCAUCCUUCGUGGUUGAUCUAAACGGUCCACAUACAUCGGUAUGUAUUAGGUCCAAUAGACCCUCACCCCUUUCACAUGUACUUGUGAAGGGUGACUUAGUCAUCUUUCCAAGCAAACAAGACUCGCAUGUGUCAUCUUCCCUAAGGUCGAAUGACUCCAACACUCCAUCCUUUUGGAGUUGGGCUAUGCGCUUCUUGUUGACAUGUCCAAGACGACAAUGCCACAAGGAUGCUCUAUCCAUACCAUUGGAAGAAUCCAUGCAUAAAACAUCAUUUCCUAAGUUAUCUACAAUCAUAACAGUUUCAUAAAUUCCAUUACACGGUAUUGCUUCAAAAUAUAAGACACCAUUUAGAUAAGCAAGAAUAGAACCAUUCUCAUUAUUAAAAGAAAAUCUAAAACCUUGUCUAAACAAACCAUGAAAUGAAAUGAUGUUUCUAGCCAUUUCUGGCGAAUAGCAACAAUUGUUCAAAUCUAAAGAUAAACCAUUCCUAAGCAUUAAAGAAUACACUCCAAUCUUGGUCACAGGCGACGAUCUUCUGUUCCCCAUGAUUAGAUUUAUUCUUCCAUGCUCCACAUCCCUAUUUCUUCUUAGUCCCUGCAAAUCAGAACAAAUGUGGUAACCACAACCGGUAUCAAGGACCCAAGAAAUAGAAUGAGAUGAGUCAUUAGAUUUAAUUGUAUAUAUACCUGCGAAAGAUGGCUUGAUCUUUCCUUCCCUGAUGGCUUGCAGGUAGUCUGGGCAGCUUCUCUUCCAAUGCCUUAUUUUAUGGCAAUGAUGGCACUCUGCCUCCUUAGGGUUAGGACAGGGUUUAGCAGGAUCAACUUUGGUCCCACUAGAACAGGAACCAUCUCGGGACUUUCCCUUGCGGUGGCUCUUAGACGGAGCCUUCCUCUUCUUGCCUCUUCCUUGCCCAAUGGCCAAAACAGGAGCAGCGGGUAGAUUGGGAGCGGGUGCAACAGACUUGUCCUUGAGGUUGCUUUCAGCAACCCNAAGGAGUCCUUGGAGCUUGCUUAGGGUGACCUCUUCCUUGUUCAUGUGGUAGGUCAUCCUAAAUUGAUUGUAACACGGAGGCAAAGAGUGAAGCACCAUGUCGAUCGCCAAGUCUUCCCCAAAGUCAACAUUCAACUUGCGAAGACGAUCGACAUACCUUUGCAUCUUUUGCAGGUGCACGGUAAGAGAUUCUCCAUGACCCAUUUUAGCGGAAAUCAUGUUAGUGAAAAUCUCGUAACGCUCUUGCCUCGCGUUCUGGUGGUAUCUCUCCAACAAGUCUUGGUGCAUUUCAUACGGAUACAUGUCCUCAUAGGACUUUUGGAAUUCGGCAUUCAUGGUGGCUAUCAUGUUGCAAUGUACCUUCGAUGCAUCACGCUUGUAAGUUUCAAAAACGGUCAUUUCAGCCGGAGUAGUGAUUUCAGGUUUGAUUUUCUCGAGCUUCUCAUCGAGGACAUACUCCUUUUCCUCAUAGCAAGCAAUUAUGCGAAUGUAUCUUAUCCAUUUGCUAAAGUUCUUUCCAUCGAAAGUGACCUUUUGACAAAGGCUCAUCAAUGUGAAUGAACUAGCAGCAACAUUGUUCGCGUUCGACAUCUACAAAUAGAAAGGACAAAGAUAGAUUAGAAUAUGAAUCCCUAAUUAUCACCCAAUAAGAAAAAUUAGGGCUAGGAUCCAACAACAAUAUUUACAUAUUAGAAAAGGGAUGCCGUAAUCUAACAUGCAAACAAUUUGAAGGUAAGUGAAUGACGAUUCACUAAUUCUCCAACACAAAACAUAGCUUUAAGUUCUAAAUGUAUUGAGAAUUCCUAGGUUUAGAUGAGAUUCAUUGAAACUUUUCAAUGGCAUGUUUAAAUCUCGAUAUGCCCCUCUCGUUUGUAACUGGGAUACCGAGGAUCACAAAGUGGGUGUGAAUUACCAUGCAAAUUUACAUGGUGCCUUCAUUGUAACGAUCACCUAUUCGAUGUGCCGGUAAACCACACACGCUCCAUCGAACUAUGAUAAACAAUGAAUCACCCUUUUCCACCUUUGCNCCUAUAACCAAUUAGUGUGCCGAUAAACCACACACGCUCCACUAACUUCUUAGCAAGGGUGCAAAGUGUAAUUUCAUGGGAUUGCAUCAAUUCACUUUUCCUAAAGUAACUAAGAUUGGGAAAUUUUUGAAAAACAUGUAGUUACUUUGUAUUUUAUAUUAUAGUUUUAAUGAAGAGAUGAGGUUGCCCUAUCCUACCCGUUCGGCUAACGACCCUCCACCGAUCAAGCAAGCGGUGGGUGUGAGUGUACACCCAUUAAGCGCCAUUUUAUAGGCAGCAACCUUAUACCCACCUUAUAGACCGGCUUCGUGAAUGAGGCCUACUAACGGUAAGACUAGCAUUUUAAUUAUACAUAUAUAUAUAUAUAUAUAUAUAUAUUAAUCUUGUAAUAUUAUAUUAGUAUAGGGUUGAAUUUUAAACUUGUAAAAUUCUAGGGUUUGAAAUUUAAAUUGUCUAAAUUAAACUUUUAAUCACAAAACAUAAAUUUCAAAACUUGAGGGCAAGUUUUAAACUUUUAAAACAUAGAGGAUCAAAUAACAAAUAAUCUUAAUUAACAAUUAAUUCCAUAAUUAUCCAUAUUUGAUUUAUUUAAUGAUUUCUUGCAAAACAAUUUACCAAUUUAAUUAAAAUAAUUAAUCAAUUAUCACAUAAGGAAAUAAAUAUUUUAUUAAUUGAUAAAUAUCUUCAAUUAGGUCAAGAAUAUACUCAUAUAUAUCAUAAAAUCGGAUUUAUAUUGAUCUAAUAUGAUUAAGGCAAGUAUCUCAAAGAUAAACAGCAAGAAAUCCCGAAGUUUCCUCUUUCUGACGCUCGAACUCGCCGAGUACCCAGAUGGACUCGCCGAGUUGAGCCUACUCGCCGAGUACCACCAUGGGACUCGCCGAGUUCAUCAGCCAGAGGACAAAAAAAAGAUUUUUUCAGCAACAAACAAGCAAUCAAAGUAUGAAUUCAAUAGAAACCAAUCUAGGCUCUGAUACCACUGAUGGGUUUUAGCCAUAUGAACAUUCCUAUGUGCACAUGCAACCCUAAUGCUUGGAUCUAGGUUUCUCUAAUUGAACAUACAUUGAAUCCAAGACUUCUAAUGGCUAAUAGACAAUAAUAACAAUAUGAAAUCAAAGAUUAGAAGUUUACCUUGAAUCACUUGCUUGAUCUUCUUGUCCUUGAGGCUUUAGAGUCACAAUUGUCACUCCUCUAAUGGCUUACAAACACCAACUAGCAAGAAGAUGAUUUAGGAGAGAGGAGAGGGGAGGAAGAAUUCGGCCAGGGUUUCCUUAGAGACAAGUGUGUCGAAUUCCCUCAACCCAUAGGGUCUAUUUAUACUAGUAAGGCUCCUAGGGUUUCACCCUUAAACCCUAAUUGGAUAACUUAAGCCCUAAGCAAUCCAAAUCCUUUCCAUGAUAAGCCUUGGACGAUUUUAUGGCUAUCCUUAGCCCUAGAAAUCGUCCACCCCUUAUCCAUAAAGGAUAUAUAGCCCAAAGUGCAACUAUCAAACAAUUGACAGUUUAUACCCCUUUAUUUAAUUAAUCUCUUUAAGUCACCAAAUUAAUUCCUAAUUAAUUUAUGACUUAUAUUAAUCAAAUAACAAUAUUAUUAUUCCUUAUAUUAUUCUUAUAAUAUAUUAAUAAUAUUCCUUCUCUCAUUAUAAAUCAUCCUGUCAAGUUGCUAUGGUGAAGGCAACCCAAAAGGACCAUGCUCAACCGGGUCAAAUACUUGCCUAAUAGAGUUGUAGCCUAAGACACUAUUCCAACAGAUGCAUGCGAGUAAAAGUGUAUAUUUUUAAAAGAAAAUGUUUUGUUUAUGAAAACGUUUUGUCAAAGGGUUUUUGAUCCCCUUUGUAUUUAUAGUUUGUAUAUCUUAUGUGGUUCGAUAUACUUAGUUCACUAUAAACAAUGCUCUGAUACCAAUCUGUCACACCCCCAAACCAAAAUGGCGGAAACAUUCGGGNACUUCACGUAUACCAUAACAAUUGAAUAUUGUAAAGAAAGUAAUACAACCAUCAUAUAUAUAAUAAAAACGUACAUUGUUGCGUUAUACAUGUUUCCAAAAGAAUAUUACAAUAUGAUGAUUUAAAAUGUUUAAUAAUAAACGCCUUUAGCGUUCCUUCAUCAAAAGCUGGUAGUUACCUGUAUUACUAAUUCCCUGGGAAAUACAAGUGGUUUCGAAAAAGUGUCUACAAUAAAGUUGGUGAGUUCAUAAAUGUUUUGUACUGAAAAAGAAUGUCUUUUUGGAAGAAAAUCGAUGAACGUGGCUUUCAGAAAAUUCAAUAUUUUCCACAUAUAGUUUGAAAAGUUCCCAAGGUUGGAGGGCGUUAGUAUCUUUCGUAUUUAAAUGAUAAAGAUAAGUUUUGUACUCAAAAUAAUGUAAAUACUGAAUGCAUGUAUGAAUCUCGUAAAUCAAGCUUGUUUUUAUACUUUCGUGUGAGUCUUAUAACCAUACUAUUGACACAGACUGCCUGUAACAACAUUCUUCAGGUGUUGUAGUGUUAUGACAUUUGUCACCCCAGACCUCCCGGUCUAACUGUAGCUAACAGUUUAGGUGCGGGGUUGUCAAUCCCGUAUAGAUCUAUACACAAGUAUCACGCUCUCCCUCCAAGAGAUUAUGGUUUAUAAUACAGGACUUGAAAUGCAUACAUAAGAGUACGUUGAAGUUUGAAUAUCUCACAUCACUUAGUAUAAAUAGAUUUACGAUAAGAAAGUCUUUAUUUCACUUUAGAUGAAAGUAUUUCGUUUUUCAAGAUGUAUACGUAAGAAUGUAUGAAUAACUCGCAAACUAUACCCAUUAUAGUUUUUCAGAAAGUAUGUUCCAUUUGGUGAAAAUAACUUGGUGAUAUACUAAACUUUAUACGUAAAGUAAGAUGUUGGUAUCGAAUAAUAAUAAGAUAGAUGUUGCAUUUAUAUAAAACGAUACGUUUUCUUGUAUUGUACUUGUAUUCCCCCCCCCCCCUAAAACAUGAAAAGACUUGAAAAGUAGGGGUAUGAACUCACUUGUUCGGUUUCAAGAGAGUGAGACUAGAGUCGGGCAGAACUUCAACUGCGAAAAGCUGCAUCUUCGAGCUUCUCGGGGAUCUCGGUAGCGUAGAACCUUCGUCGGGGGCUUGAGUGUGGAACCGAGGGUGUCGGGAUGGUCUCUGGUACGUAAGAGUGUGUGAGGGUGAGUGAAACUUUGAGUGAGGUGUGCUAAAAUCCGGAGCUUAUGCCUUCUAUUUAUAGGGCUGAAAAUGCGAGUACAUUGGGCGUACCACCGGAGUACGCUGGGCGUAACUUUGCGUCAUGGCUUACGACUCGGGUCUAGCUAGUCGUAGAGCUUGCAGCCGAUGGGACUCGACCCUGCACCUGAGUACGCUGGGCGUACUCCUGAAUUACGCUGGGCGAAAUUCUGGCUUCCGUCUUCUAAAUUCCGUAACUUUCGCGUACGGGCUCCGUCUUUCGCGUUCUUUAUAUCCACACGUAGGUGAGAUUAUGUUCUACAACUUUCAUUUAGACUCCGUCGGCUAGUUUUGACUUUAUUUUUAAUGCUAUGUUUAUAAUAGGCGGGGACUGCUAAAGUCCGUUAAAAAUUCAUAAUUUCUUUAUCCGACGUCUGUUUUCGUUUGUCUUUUUGUCAUCUUACUCCUAUUGUGGAGGCCUUCUACUCUCGUUUAGGUUGCGUUAGCUAAAUAUCGAUCGAUUUUCAAUUCGAGUUUUUAGCUCUCUACUACUGUUACGAAACUUAGAAAAUUGGUAACUUCUUCAUACGAGGUCCAAUUUGGGCGAUCUUUUUAUGUACGUUUACAGUUUAACGAACUCUACAACUUUUGUUUAGAUACUUAAGGCUAACAUACAUUUUAUUUGAAUUUCACUUUUACGUUAAAUAGUGUUUUACCGGGUGUGUCGUAAAUAUUUGAGUGGUUAUAGUUUCAUCAAUAUAAUCGGGUUUCAAAUGUUCUUUAUGUUUUUGGAAACCUUGGCACGAUAUCUAACAUUUGAUGCAUCCCAAUUUAGAUAUUUUGAACACUCUAUUUUUGAGGUUAAUUUCGUUGAUUCCAAAUAGUUUUCGUUGUAUUUGACUUUUGAGUGUUACAUUGCUUUUGGAAAAAUAUAGUGUUGUCACAAUACUGCAUCGGGCCGUGGCCCUGAACACAUAGAGCAUAAAUCAUGUCUGAGCCACAAAGGCAUCAGACAUACUAACUACUGCAUCGGACCGAAGUCCGGAAACUACUGCUAACUAAGCGGGCCGACAUUGUGGCCGUAGACCCGUUCCUACAGGAAGGAAACUCACCUUGUAAUCUGGCUGAUGAACGAACUGUUCGGGAAACUGUCUGCUGCUGCUCCGGUACCUCUCCGGCUACAAUUUCCAUAAGUACACUCAAUCAAUUACUAAUAAUUAUGCUGAGGGUAAAAUGAUUGUUUUACCCCUAGUCAAAGUCAACCUCUUGGUCAAAGUCAACAUAUAGUUGACCUGACUCGUCGAGUUGGGCUGCCAACUCGUUGAGUCCUUACUCUCACUUCUCGCUUUUGCUCUCUAUUACUCGUCGAGUUCGGCAUAGACUCGAAGAGUUCCUCUUCGAUACUAACACUCAGUCAAUAUGCAUCCGACUCGCCGAGUUAUAUGAACAACUUGUCGAGUUCUCCUUCAUCGCAUGAACACUCUGGCUGUGACUCGCCGAGUUGUAUGAUCAACUCGUCGAGUCUGUUCUUAAGAUAUGAAGAUUGCCUUGGACUCGCCGAGUCCCUUCCCUACUGAAUCUUACCUCCUGCUCACUAAGUCCCUCCUCUAACUCACUGGUUCCACUCGGCAAAACCCAAAAGGGAAAAAUUGGGGAUUCGCGACUCGACUCGCCGAGUCGAUUGCAUGCAACCACUAAUCAGAUGAUUCUGGUCAAUUCCAUUGCAUUCAACUAAUAGAACUGGGCUCCUAGGGCUUGUUUCACACGUCAAGUUUCCAACUUUACAUGUAUAAAUGCAUCCAUGGAGGUUUAAAAGCUCUAAAGGGACCAAAAGAGUAUAUCUAGGGCUUUGAUGCAAGAAUGGCCCCAAAAAGGCGAUAGAUCUGAGCUUCUAGAGCUCAUACAUGGGUAGAUCUGAUGGCUAUUCAUCACCACAUGCUUCCAAUACUACUACCAAUCCAAAAAU
This 30478-nucleotide long non-coding RNA is filed under the name Lactuca sativa (garden lettuce). RNAcentral's name for it is "long non-coding RNA (LSAT_LNC001367)". The record is from RNAcentral. Lineage: Eukaryota; Viridiplantae; Streptophyta; Magnoliopsida; Asterales; Asteraceae.